Molecule: unclassified non-coding RNA, 1364 nt
Filed under: uncultured fungus
Lineage: Eukaryota; Fungi
Description: sequence contains 18S rRNA gene, ITS1, 5.8S rRNA gene, ITS2, 28S rRNA gene
Rfam family: Eukaryotic large subunit ribosomal RNA (bases 305-1364)
Source: RNAcentral
AGCUGGAUCAUUUCGAAAGUUUUCGAACACAAACCAUUCUCAGUUCUCCGGGCUGACGUGAAUUUUCACUUGGCUGGAGUUGGAACAACUCAUAACGGUGGAUGUCUUGGCUUCCCAAUCGAUGAAGGACGCGGCAACAUGCGAUAAGUCGUAUGAAUUGCAGAAUCAAGCGUAUUAUCAAACCUUUGAACGCCACGUGCGUGCUGGCUUUUAGGUCAAGCACGCCCACGGUUCAGUGCCGAUAACUGUGUUGGGGACAAAUUAGGCCCUUAAACAUUUGGUUUCGUACCAAUUAUCAUUUUCAAGGCCUGAGCUGUGGACGACCACCCGCUGAACUUAAGCAUAUCAUUAAGCGGAGGAAAAGAAAACAACUGUGAUUCCCUUAGUAGCGGCGAGCGAAGAGGGAAAAGCCCAAGCCGAAUCGGACCUGUUCCGAAUUGUGGAGUAUGAAGUUCCUUGUAUUUCCGCAUGCUGGAAAAGUCUUCCUGGAAAGGAGUGCCCUAGAGGGUGAUAGCCCCGUUUUCUGGUCUCUGCGCGAAACAACACCUUGGAACUUUCGGAGUAGUACUGCUUGGGAAUGCAGUGCGAAUGGCAGGUAUACCUCUGCCAAGGCUAAAUAUCUUGGGAAGACCGAUAGCGCACAAGUAGCGUGAGCGAAAGAUGAAAAGCACUUUGGAGAGAGAGUGAAAGAGUACCUGAAGCCGUUAUGAGGUAAGGGAUGGACCACUAUCCAAGGCAUGGAGAAGAAAGGCUCACUCGAGCUAACCUCGCUCUGUGUCAUGUCUGCCGCUGUUCUGCGCUCUAGCUUACUGGUUUGGGGGCAACUCUAUUCGCGGUUUGUACUUGAAGUUAUGGACAGUUAUCCUUCGCUGGGUGUGAAACGCUGGGGCGUCCGACAUGGUCGCUGGCUGGCCGGAUAGCCGCUUCGGUGGUGAUUCCUGUUGGUUGGUUGCUGUGAAAGUGCUUCCGUUUUCUUCUCAGUAGGCAGGCUUUGAGAUGGCUACGGCCACGAUGGGGUUCAUCCGCCCGUCUUGAAACACGGACCAAGGAGUCUAACAAGUAUGCGAGUCAUAUACUUAUUGAAAGUAUAAGGCGAACUGAAAGGGAAGCGCGCCGUACGCGUGUGGUGUCAACCAUUGGUCUUCGACCAUAGGUGCAGCACCGGCCGAGGUCGGACAAUCGGUCUGAUUUUUGAGCCUAAGCAUACAUGUUGGGACCCGAAAGGUGGUGACCUAUGCCUGAACAGGACGAAGCCGAGGGAAACCUGGGUGGAGGUCCGUAGCGAUGUUGACGUGCAAAUCGCUCGUUUGAUUUAGGUAUAGGGGCGGAAAGACUCAUCGAACCACCUAGUAGCUGGUUCACCC